Physella acuta is the source of this 293-nucleotide long non-coding RNA. RefSeq lists it as uncharacterized. Lineage: Eukaryota; Metazoa; Mollusca; Gastropoda; Physidae. The record is from RefSeq and is a predicted model, not a curated record.
GCCUCUCUCUUCACUCUCAACACGUCCGGAGUGUGAAACCAUCUACAGACCAGUGGAGUACAAUGUGUUCAUUGGAGCCUCUCCAGAGUGUAGUGGUCAUCUAGACGGGAAAAUUGCAACCUAUACUGGAAUAGUGAGCUGUAACUCUAUAUCAGGUGCCUCUACUUUAAACAACAUCUUCCCUGAGGUCUUCAGCAGGAUCCCCUACGCUCUCUGGAAGAUAAACAGCAUACCUCUGCUGUCUUAUGGAGCUUGUGGCGAGACUGUCUUUGAUCAAAUAUGUAGCUGUUAAG